GCUGUGACUGCUUGUGGGAAGAUCAUUGUUGGUAAUGGAGCAUCAGUCCACUUAACGAGUCCCACUGUGUUCUAUCUGGGAGCAGCUUUGGGAAUCUGUGUGAUGGUGAUCUGCAUUCAAGCCAUUCAAAUCUGCAGGGGGAGAGAUCACGAUUCGGUGGUGGAGAACAAAGCCAGUCAGGACUCUGCAGCUGUGGAGCUGAAUUAUGCAGCCAAAAGCCUGAGAAUGAAGAGUGGACGCUCUGGACACAGUGUUUACUCUGAAGUCAGAUACUUCUCAGUUACUGACCCCAACAAUCACUGACUCG
Long non-coding RNA from Pygocentrus nattereri (red-bellied piranha), 307 nucleotides. RefSeq lists it as uncharacterized. The transcript has 4 exons. The record is from RefSeq and is a predicted model, not a curated record. Lineage: Eukaryota; Metazoa; Chordata; Actinopteri; Characiformes; Serrasalmidae.